This 1450-nucleotide ribosomal RNA is filed under the name uncultured organism. RNAcentral describes it as "16S ribosomal RNA". It matches the Rfam family "Bacterial small subunit ribosomal RNA". The record is from RNAcentral.
CCUAACACAUGCAAGUCGAACGGUAACAGGAAACAGCUUGCUGUUUCGCUGACGAGUGGCGGACGGGUGAGUAAUGUCUGGGAAACUGCCUGAUGGAGGGGGAUAACUACUGGAAACGGUAGCUAAUACCGCAUAACGUCGCAAGACCAAAGAGGGGGACCUUCGGGCCUCUUGCCAUCGGAUGUGCCCAGAUGGGAUUAGCUUGUUGGUGGGGUAACGGCUCACCAAGGCGACGAUCCCUAGCUGGUCUGAGAGGAUGACCAGCCACACUGGAACUGAGACACGGUCCAGACUCCUACGGGAGGCAGCAGUGGGGAAUAUUGCACAAUGGGCGCAAGCCUGAUGCAGCCAUGCCGCGUGUAUGAAGAAGGCCUUCGGGUUGUAAAGUACUUUCAGCGGGGAGGAAGGGAGUAAAGUUAAUACCUUUGCUCAUUGACGUUACCCGCAGAAGAAGCACCGGCUAACUCCGUGCCAGCAGCCGCGGUAAUACGGAGGGUGCAAGCGUUAAUCGGAAUUACUGGGCGUAAAGCGCACGCAGGCGGUUUGUUAAGUCAGAUGUGAAAUCCCCGGGCUCAACCUGGGAACUGCUUCUGAUACUGGCAAGCUUGAGUCUCGUAGAGGGGGGUAGAAUUCCAAGUGUAGCGGUGAAAUGCGUAGAGAUCUGGAGGAAUACCGGUGGCGAAGGCGGCCCCCUGGACGAAGACUGACGCUCAGGUGCGAAAGCGUGGGGAGCAAACAGGAUUAGAUACCCUGGUAGUCCACGCCGUAAACGAUGUCGACUUGGAGGUUGUGCCCUUGAGGCGUGGCUUCCGGAGCUAACGCGUUAAGUCGACCGCCUGGGGAGUACGGCCGCAAGGUUAAAACUCAAAUGAAUUGACGGGGGCCCGCACAAGCGGUGGAGCAUGUGGUUUAAUUCGAUGCAACGCAAAGAACCUUACCUGGUCUUGACAUCCACAGAACUUUCCAGAGAUGGAUUGGUGCCUUCGGGAACUGUGAGACAGGUGCUGCAUGGCUGUCGUCAGCUCGUGUUGUGAAAUGUUGGGUUAAGUCCCGCAACGAGCGCAACCCUUAUCCUUUGUUGCCAGCGGUCCGGCCGGGAACUCAAAGGAGACUGCCAGUGAUAAACUGGAGGAAGGUGGGGAUGACGUCAAGUCAUCAUGGCCCUUACGACCAGGGCUACACACGUGCUACAAUGGCGCAUACAAAGAGAAGCGACCUCGCGAGAGCAAGCGGACCUCAUAAAGUGCGUCGUAGUCCGGAUUGGAGUCUGCAACUCGACUCCAUGAAGUCGGAAUCGCUAGUAAUCGUGGAUCAGAAUGCCACGGUGAAUACGUUCCCGGGCCUUGUACACACCGCCCGUCACACCAUGGGAGUGGGUUGCAAAAGAAGUAGGUAGCUUAACCUUCGGGAGGGCGCUUACCACUUUGUGAUUCAUGACUGGGGUGAAGUC